This 141-nucleotide small nuclear RNA is filed under the name Saimiri boliviensis boliviensis (Bolivian squirrel monkey). RNAcentral's name for it is "U4 spliceosomal RNA (ENSSBOG00000015561.1)". It matches the Rfam family "U4 spliceosomal RNA". From Rfam's summary of the family: U4 small nuclear RNA (U4 snRNA) is a component of the major U2-dependent spliceosome. The structure of U4 snRNA from yeast and human has been reported. The record is from Rfam by way of RNAcentral. Lineage: Eukaryota; Metazoa; Chordata; Mammalia; Primates; Cebidae.
AGCUUUGGGUAGUGGCAGUAUCAUAGCCAAUGAGGUUUAUCCGAGGUGCAAUUAUUGCUAAUUGAAAACUUUUCCCAAUACCCUGCCAUGGUGACUUGAAACAUGGUCGGCAUUGGCAAUUUUUGACAGUCUCUAUGGAGA